This 666-nucleotide ribosomal RNA is filed under the name Triticum aestivum (bread wheat). RNAcentral's name for it is "partial small subunit ribosomal RNA". The record is from RNAcentral. Lineage: Eukaryota; Viridiplantae; Streptophyta; Magnoliopsida; Poales; Poaceae.
AUGGAGGACAGGCCAGCGGACAUGGCGCCGGUGCACGUGCUGGUGUUCCCCUGGCCGCUGCAGGGCCACAUCAACUCCAUGCUCCCCUUCGCCGCGGGCCUCCUCGGCGCCGGCGUGCACGUCACCUUCCUGCACACGGAGCACAACCUCCGCCGGGUCGACCGUGCCGCUUCGCCACGCCUCCGCUUCGCGUCCGUGCCGGACGGCCUCCCCGACGACCACCCGCGCUCGGUCGCCCACCUCAGCGAGAUCGGCAGGUCCCUGAGGCCGAGCGCCAGCGCCGCGUACCGCGCCCUGCUCGCCCCGGCGCUCUCCGCUGGAAGCCACGCUGAUGGCGGGUUCCCGCCGGUGUCGUGCGUCGUGGUCGAUGGCUUGCUGCCGUUCGCCAUCGAUAUCGCGGAGGAGCUCGGCGUGCCGGCGCUCGCUUUCCGCACGGAGAGCGCGUGCAGCAUAUUGGCCUACCUCUCCGUGCCCGGGCUCGUGGAGCUCGGCGAGGUUCCCGUCCCUGUAGGCGCCGACCUCGACGAGCCGGUCCGUGGCGUUCCGGGGAUGGAGGGCUUCCUGCGGCGGCGAGAUCUUCCAAGUUCUUGCCGCGGCCACGGCGAGGUUGACGAACUCGACCCCAUGCUGCAGGUACUCGAUGAUGAAGUCACGUACCUAGGGUAG